This 506-nucleotide ribosomal RNA is filed under the name uncultured bacterium. RNAcentral describes it as "partial 16S ribosomal RNA". It matches the Rfam family "Bacterial small subunit ribosomal RNA", at positions 28 to 523 of the family's 1533-position model. The record is from RNAcentral.
GAUGAACGCUAGCGGCAGGCCUAACACAUGCAAGUCGAGGGGUAACUAGAGUGAUAGCAAUAUUACUUUGGCUAGACCGGCGCACGGGUGCGUAACACGUAUGCAACCUACCUUAUACUGGGGAAUAACUUCGAGAAAUCGGCGCUAAUACCCCAUAACACUGCGGAGAGGCAUCUCUUUGCAGUUAAAGCUCCGGCGGUAUAAGAUGGGCGUGCGUCCAAUUAGCUAGUUGGUGAGGUAACGGCUCAACACGGCUACGAUUGGUAGGGGUUCUGAGAGGAUGAUCCCCCACACUGGUACUGAGACACGGACCAGACUCCUACGGGAGGCAGCAGUGAGGAAUAUUGCGCAAUGGACGAAAGUCUGACGCAGCCAUGCCGCGUGCAGGAUGACGGCCCUAUGGGUUGUAAACUGCUUUUGUACGGGAACAAACCCUUCUACGUGUAGGAGGCUGAAGGUACCGUAAGAAUAAGCACCGGCUAACUCCGUGCCAGCAGCCGCGGUAA